CUCAAUCUUCAUUUGCAGAGUACAUAUUCAUGAGCGUCAGAUAGUUGACUUAUGAAAAAAAGCUUACAAGGUUCAUAUGAUGAGAAUCAUCUUCUAUCUGUAAUUUUUUGUUCUAUGGAAAAAUAAUUUGUUUUACUGGUAACUGGAAUGUAGUUUAUCUUGCGUAGAAUGUUCAUCAUGAUCAAAUUAUCAAAGAGCUAAUAUGAGAUUUGAUUAAUUAUGCUUACCACAGGAGAGCCGCUGGAACUAACCCAUGACUCAUAGAUGGUUCGUGAUGAGUUAUCAGGGUCUUGAACCUUCAAAAAGAUGAGCAGUUAAUCUUAUUGUGAUAAGUGCGAGGAAUUACUUGGCCUAUUUUUAAAACAGACAAGAUACUGCUGCACUGGUCAGAAUAGGAUUGUGGGGCUGGCCCUUCAACUAAAGAACAAAUAUUAGACGUUGCACCUAUCGAUUAUUAAAGUUCCAGUGGCUAUUUAAUUAAAAUAUGUUCGUAACUUUUGAUAAAAAAAUAUAUAUAUAUGUUCUUAACUUUGUUGAUUCUUAUCCAGCUUCUCCUCAUUGCCCACUUCCGGAUGGAGCCUAAGCCUCCUUCAAAGGGAAUGGUAAUCCACUUUGACUGCUAGUGAAUAUGCAGUGAUCAUUAGAGGAUUGAUAAAAACCAUACUCUUGGAGCUUACUGGUAAACUUUAUAUUCCAUCGCCUGCUAUCCUGUUUAAGCUCAUAUAAGGACAUCUUUAAUUUGUAGACCUAUGUAUGGGUAAUUUUACCGUGAGUUGGUUAAUUCAUGCUAGCAUUUGACAUGAAAUGAUAAGUGAAUACUUAAUUUACACACUAAUUUAUUAA
Long non-coding RNA from Hevea brasiliensis (rubber tree), 843 nucleotides. RefSeq lists it as uncharacterized. NCBI's taxonomy places the organism in Eukaryota, Viridiplantae, Streptophyta, Magnoliopsida, Malpighiales, Euphorbiaceae. The record is from RefSeq and is a predicted model, not a curated record. The transcript has 2 exons.